This is a long non-coding RNA of Alnus glutinosa, 334 nucleotides long. RefSeq lists it as uncharacterized. The transcript is spliced from 3 exons. NCBI's taxonomy places the organism in Eukaryota, Viridiplantae, Streptophyta, Magnoliopsida, Fagales, Betulaceae. The record is from RefSeq and is a predicted model, not a curated record.
CUAAAAUACAUUUCCCUUAAUUCCGUAAAUAGUGGGCGCUACUUGCAGCGUUGCACGACUUAACGCUACAGUUUCCUUUUCCUCCACUUUUUCCUUUCCCUCCAACUUUCCAUUUCCCUCAUCUUCUCUCCCGCUUCUUUUCUCCUCUCUGCGUCUCUCUGUCUCCAUCUGAUUCAUCUGAAGUUUUGAGCUCAUUUUCAUUCCCCAUCUUCUCUCUGUCUCUGAAGGAAUCUUGGUGUUUGGUGCUUUGGAAGAUUGGAUGAUGGGUAGUUGAAGCAUAAGACCUCAACGUCUGGGCUAUCGGGCGUAAACUGACGGGAAAUGAGGAUUUAGA